RNAcentral lists this transfer RNA (73 nucleotides) under Candidatus Entotheonella factor. Its description in RNAcentral is "Candidatus Entotheonella sp. TSY1 tRNA". It matches the Rfam family "tRNA". Rfam says of the family: Transfer RNA (tRNA) molecules are approximately 80 nucleotides in length. Their secondary structure includes four short double-helical elements and three loops (D, anti-codon, and T loops). Further hydrogen bonds mediate the characteristic L-shaped molecular structure. tRNAs have two regions of fundamental functional importance: the anti-codon, which is responsible for specific mRNA codon recognition, and the 3' end, to which the tRNAs corresponding amino acid is attached (by aminoacyl-tRNA synthetases). tRNAs cope with the degeneracy of the genetic code in two manners: having more than one tRNA (with a specific anti-codon) for a particular amino acid; and 'wobble' base-pairing, i.e. permitting non-standard base-pairing at the 3rd anti-codon position. The record is from Rfam by way of RNAcentral. Lineage: Bacteria; Pseudomonadati; Candidatus Tectimicrobiota; Candidatus Entotheonellia; Candidatus Entotheonellales; Candidatus Entotheonellaceae.
GCCUCGGUAGCUCAGUUGGUAGAGCAUCUGUCUAGAAUGCAGAAUGUCGCGGGUUCGAGUCCCACCUGAGGCA